RNAcentral lists this ribosomal RNA (460 nucleotides) under uncultured bacterium. RNAcentral describes it as "partial 16S ribosomal RNA". It matches the Rfam family "Bacterial small subunit ribosomal RNA", at positions 338 to 795 of the family's 1533-position model. The record is from RNAcentral.
CCUACGGGGGGCUGCAGUGAGGAAUAUUGGUCAAUGGGCGUAAGCCUGAACCAGCCAAGUCGCGUGAGGGAUGAAGGUUCUAUGGAUCGUAAGCCUCUUUUAUAAGGGAAUAAAGUGUGGGACGUGUCCUAUUUUGUAUGUACCUUAUGAAUAAGGAUCGGCUAACUCCGUGCCAGCAGCCGCGGUAAUACGGAGGAUCCGAGCGUUAUCCGGAUUUAUGGGGUUUAAAGGGUGCGUAGGCGGCCUUUUAAGUCAGCGGUGAAAGGCUGUGGCUCAACCAUAGAAUUGCCGUUGAAACUGGGGGGCUUGAGUAUGGGUGAGGCAGGCGGAAUGCGUGGUGUAGCGGUGAAAUGCGUAGAUAUCACGCAGAACCCCGAUUGCGAAGGCAGCCUGCUAAGCCAUGACUGACGCUGAGGCACGAAAGCGUGGGGAGCAAACGGGAUUAGAUACCCCUGUAGUC